UACAGAGGUCCCAAGCGUUGUUCGGAUUCACUGGGCGUAAAGGGUGCGUAGGAGGGCAGGUAAGUCAGUGGUGAAAUCCUAGAGCUUAACUCUAGAACUGCCGUUGAUACUAUCUGUCUUGAAUAUUGUGGAGGUGAGCGGAAUAUGUCAUGUAGCGGUGAAAUGCUUAGAUAUGACAUAGAACACCAAUUGCGAAGGCAGCUCGCUACACAUAUAUUGACUCUGAGGCACGAAAGCGUGGGGAUCAAACAGG
Molecule: ribosomal RNA, 253 nt
Filed under: uncultured bacterium
Lineage: Bacteria
Description: partial 16S ribosomal RNA
Rfam family: Bacterial small subunit ribosomal RNA
Source: RNAcentral